GACGAACGCUGGCGGCGUGCUUAACACAUGCAAGUCGAACGGAAAGGCCCUGCUUUUGUGGGGUGCUCGAGUGGCGAACGGGUGAGUAACACGUGAGUAACCUGCCCUUGACUUUGGGAUAACCUCAGGAAACUGGGGCUAAUACCGGAUAGGAGCUCCUGCUGCAUGGUGGGGGUUGGAAAGUUUCGGCGGUUGGGGAUGGACUCGCGGCUUAUCAGCUUGUUGGUGGGGUAGUGGCUUACCAAGGCUUUGACGGGUAGCCGGCCUGAGAGGGUGACCGGCCACAUUGGGACUGAGAUACGGCCCAGACUCCUACGGGAGGCAGCAGUGGGGAAUAUUGCACAAUGGGCGGAAGCCUGAUGCAGCAACGCCGCGUGCGGGAUGACGGCCUUCGGGUUGUAAACCGCUUUCGCCUGUGACGAAGCGUGAGUGACGGUAAUGGGUAAAGAAGCACCGGCUAACUACGUGCCAGCAGCCGCGGUGAUACGUAGGGUGCGAGCGUUGUCCGGAUUUAUUGGGCGUAAAGGGCUCGUAGGUGGUUGAUCGCGUCGGAAGUGUAAUCUUGGGGCUUAGCCCUGAGCGUGCUUUCGAUACGGGUUGACUUGAGGAAGGUAGGGGAGAAUGGAAUUCCUGGUGGAGCGGUGGAAUGCGCAGAUAUCAGGAGGAACACCAGUGGCGAAGGCGGUUCUCUGGGCCUUUCCUGACGCUGAGGAGCGAAAGCGUGGGGAGCGAACAGGCUUAGAUACCCUGGUAGUCCACGCUGUAAACGGUGGGUACUAGGUGUGGGGUCCAUUCCACGGGUUCCGUGCCGUAGCUAACGCUUUAAGUACCCCGCCUGGGGAGUACGGCCGCAAGGCUAAAACUCAAAGGAAUUGACGGGGCCCCGCACAAGCGGCGGAGCAUGCGGAUUAAUUCGAUGCAACGCGUAGAACCUUACCUGGGUUUGACAUGGAUCGGGAGUGCUCAGAGAUGGGUGUGCCUCUUUUGGGGUCGGUUCACAGGUGGUGCAUGCCUGUCGUCAGCUCGUGUCGUGAGAUGUUGGGUUAAGUCCCGCAACGAGCGCAACCCUUGUUCACUGUUGCCAGCACGUUAUGGUGGGGACUCAGUGGAGACCGCCGGGGUCAACUCGGAGGAAGGUGGGGAUGACGUCAAGUCCUCGUGCCCCUUAUGUCCAGGGCUUCACGCAUGCUACAAUGGCUGGUACAGAGAGUGGCGAGCCUGUGAGGGUGAGCGAAUCUCGGAAAGCCGGUCUCAGUUCGGAUUGGGGUCUGCAACUCGACCUCAUGGAGUCGGAGUCGCUAGUAAUCGCAGAUCAGCAACGCUGCGGUGAAUACGUUCCCGGG
Molecule: ribosomal RNA, 1343 nt
Filed under: uncultured bacterium
Lineage: Bacteria
Description: 16S ribosomal RNA
Rfam family: Bacterial small subunit ribosomal RNA
Source: RNAcentral